GAUGAACGCUGGCGGCGUGCCUAAUACAUGCAAGUCGAGCGAACGGACGAGAAGCUUGCUUUUCUGAUGUUAGCGGCGGACGGGUGAGUAACACGUGGAUAACCUACCUAUAGGACUGGGAUAACUUCGGGAAACCGGAGCUAAUACCGGAUAAUAUUUUGAACCGCAUGGUUCAAAAGUGAAAGACGGUCUUGCUGUCACUUAUAGAUGGAUCCGCGCUGCAUUAGCUAGUUGGUAAGGUAACGGCUUACCAAGGCAACGAUGCAUAGCCGACCUGAGAGGGUGAUCGGCCACACUGGAGCUGAGACACGGUCCAGACUCCUACGGGAGGCAGCAGUAGGGAAUCUUCCGCAAUGGGCGAAAGCCUGACGGAGCAACGCCGCGUGAGUGAUGAAGGUCUUCGGAUCGUAAAACUCUGUUAUUAGGGAAGAACAUAUGUGUAAGUAACUGUGCACAUCUUGACGGUACCUAAUCAGAAAGCCACGGCUAACUACGUG
This 497-nucleotide ribosomal RNA is filed under the name uncultured bacterium. RNAcentral describes it as "partial 16S ribosomal RNA". It matches the Rfam family "Bacterial small subunit ribosomal RNA", at positions 28 to 507 of the family's 1533-position model. The record is from RNAcentral.